Molecule: long non-coding RNA, 1584 nt
Organism: Cryptomeria japonica (Japanese cedar)
Lineage: Eukaryota; Viridiplantae; Streptophyta; Pinopsida; Cupressales; Cupressaceae
Exons: 2
Source: RefSeq, a predicted model, not a curated record
AAUUUAGACUCUACUUUUUUAUCUUCGAAAAGCCCUUUGAAACCCUAAACCUAAGUCAUGUUUUCUUUCUAUAAAUCAAUAACAAAGCUUCCGAUUUAUCAAUGGAGGCGCAACGGUUGCAGAUCGAGGGCGUUCAGAUUGAGGAUGAAGAUUUGUAUCUUGCUGAUAUGAUAUAUGUGAUUAUUCAUACAUUAUCACCAUCUUUCGGCUGAGACUGCACCGACUUUGUAACAUGGAAUGUGAUGAUUAUGAUUGUCGCCCCAGUCUUAUUAGCACUCAUUUGUGCUAUAUGGUGAUUGACAAUUACAUUCUGAUUUCAAUGUCUUGAUUGAGCCAAUGAUGAGAAAUUAAUGUCAUGCACCACUCUGAGAUUAACCGUGCUGAUUAUGACCAUCACCAUUGAUUUCUGAGGCUAUGCUAUGUUGUAUAUUUGGAUUAUAUUUUAGUUUUUGAUGAUCUCUCUAUCAUUUAGUUUAAAUCGAAUCAAUGGCCUUGUCUGAAUCUGUUUUUAAAAUUUUUUUUCCUCAAGUCUCAUUUGCCCUUUUGAAGUCUCAUUUGCCCUUUUGAAGUCUCAUUUGCCCUUUUGAAGUCUGGGCACGUUUCUAUAAUUUGUAAUGGGUUUUUGCUAUCUUUGUUAAUGUUUUUUAUAGUUUGUUUUUCCGUUUCUUGUUUGUGUUUUUAAAUUCUUAUUUCCUUUUGAAUAUUCAUUUCCCCUUCCAAGUCUGAGUACAUUUUCAUGAUUUCUGAUAUGCAAUCAUUAUGUCUGAUUUUAGAAUGGACUUCUAUCUGAAAUUGUGUGCAUGCUCAGAACUGUUUUCAAAUCAUAAUAAAGAGAAACCAUCACUUGUCGGCCAUUCCUUUCGUGGUUGGAAGAAUCAAGAUUCGGGUAGUACAUUUUGGCACCUAAACGGAUCAAGAUUCCCGAGUGUUCACUUGCAAUUACAAAAACAGGGCAGAUUAGUAGUAAAGUCCGAUUAUUGAACUAUUAUUUAAUGCAUUUGGAAAAAAAAUGCGAACAAAAUAUUAUCUUUGGGAGGGAAAAGAGAAAUAUGAAUCAAAAUCUCUGUUAUUAAAGAAUCAUGGCGAUAUUAAGAGCUGUCUAUUUAAAAGCAAUAUUUCCCAGUAGCUACGUAUAUCACAGAGCCUAAGGUCCUCAUGUUUUAUGCUAAAGUGGAUUAUUUUUGGAGCCAGGUGAUAGUUCUUGUUUCUUAAGUAUGUGAAUGAUGUAAUCGACAUAAGCUGUGGAAAUAUGGGCUGGGUAAUAAUUCGCAAAGAACGCAACAUUUUCAAUUUAUGUGGGUUUUUCUAUUAUACAUAAUCUAUGCCAGACCCUAGAUGUGUAUGGUAAACACUUCCUGAUCUUGCUGGAUUUUAAUGGGUUGGAAAUUGAACAGGGAAACAACUUAGAAGAUAACGUUUGUUGAGGCACGGAAUGAUGGAUCUGAAACGGAAGCGUUGAAGAGAUGGGACUGGUAACCCUCAAGUUCACAUCAUAGAUAAAUAAUGUGGAAGCGAGUGUUAGGCCUGGAAGCACCCAAUUCAUAUGAUAGAUAAAUGAUUUGAAAGAUAUUCCAUCAAUGGGAG